GCUGAAGUUGGAUGCCUAACCAACUGAGCCACCCAGGCGCCCCUACUAUACCUUCUUUUAAGCUUUCUAGAAUUUAUUUACAUCUAAAGGAAGGAAUGGCACCCUCAAAUUGUACUCACAUUCCCUGUUUGAAUGUCCUGAUCACAAUUCCAUUGAGCCCGGGAUUGUGGGAACAAUGCUGGUUUAUGUGACGUUUUCACCUGCCUGACAAGUUGUUUGAAAUGGAGAACACCCACUUAAAGCUAUUUAUGUCAUACAUAUUUCCCAAAGGAAAAUUUCUGCAUAAGUAUAUAUUCAAAAUGCUUAAAAAUAAAGUAAUAGUACAGCCAUUUCUACUUGUCCCUAAAGGGUAGGACAUAUGUCAUCAUCAUGUUUCUAUCUGCAGAAUAUAUGGCCCAGGAUAAAAUAAAUAUUUGUUGAAUAGUAUCCCAAAGUUUUAAGUACAGAUCUUUCUUCGUCCCUUUAGUUCACACUUCCUAUUUGGGUAGAAUCCCUCAGGGGAAGCACCGUUUUCAUCUGAUUGUGGAAAAGUGAUUUUCUUCUGUUUAUCUCUGACACUACAACUAGUAGAUGGUCUGCGAUAAAUUGUAUUGAAAAGGAAAAGAGGGAGAUUAAAGGUGUUUUAACCCAAAAGCGUUAUUUUAACAAACUUAAAGUAUUUUUGAAACACACAGGAAAAAAAAUUCCAUAACAUAAAAGUUGUUGAGGGAACUACAAAUGGCAAAACCUUCUAUGAAUAUGCAUUCAUCCAAGUAAUAAACACGUAUCCAAUUUGUGCCUGGUCCUCUGGAUGUAAAAUGUCAGGGAACUGUGAGGUGGCAAUAAGGAGGGUCUUUUCUCUCGAAUGUAUUAUUCAUCCGUCCUUCAUUAUUUAGGGCGUUAGUAAGUGAUACUCUGUGCUGCUGUUGCACCAUUCCUGGGAGGUAUCGGUCAUCUUUCCCCCAUUUAUUUUAUAGCUUUUGAAGGUGGGUCAACAAGGAGCCAGUCUGGACUCAGAGGACUGACCAAUGGAGAGAGAAUGCACCAAAGAUUCUGAUUGAGUAGGCCUGGGAUGGCAGAGACCCUUUACAAGCUCCAGGGAAUGGUGGUGCUGCCUGUCCUUGAGUAGCAAGAGGCUAAAAGACACAUUUUAACUGAUGAGGAAACUGAAGCUUAGAAAGAGGAUCAGUAACUUCCCCAAGGCUACACAGCUAUUCUUGCCUACCAGGACAGAUACUACGUCCUCUGCAUGAACGAUCACUAUGGUUCCCAUUUUACGGAAGACGAAGCCAAGGCUCAGAAAGUUUUGACUUCUGUAAGGUCAAGCUAGAGAGCGGUGGGGCCAGAAUUCUAGUCCUUGUGUUUGACAGCAAAGCCCUUACAUGUUAAUGGGACAUUAAUGAGACCGCAUACAUUUUUAAAUUCUGCUUUAGGCUUAAAGAUCACCAACAUUGCUUUUUCAACCAUUAAAAAAAUUUUUUUUU
Long non-coding RNA from Acinonyx jubatus (cheetah), 1463 nucleotides. RefSeq lists it as uncharacterized. NCBI's taxonomy places the organism in Eukaryota, Metazoa, Chordata, Mammalia, Carnivora, Felidae. The transcript has 4 exons. The record is from RefSeq and is a predicted model, not a curated record.